RNAcentral lists this transfer RNA (77 nucleotides) under Gemmatimonadota bacterium. RNAcentral's name for it is "Gemmatimonadetes bacterium tRNA-Met". It matches the Rfam family "tRNA". Rfam says of the family: Transfer RNA (tRNA) molecules are approximately 80 nucleotides in length. Their secondary structure includes four short double-helical elements and three loops (D, anti-codon, and T loops). Lineage: Bacteria; Pseudomonadati; Gemmatimonadota. The record is from RNAcentral.
CGCGGGGUGGAGCAGUCUGGUAGCUCGUUGGGCUCAUAACCCAAAGGUCGGAGGUUCAAAUCCUUCCCCCGCUACCA